CCUACGGGAGGCAGCAGUAAGGAAUAUUGGUCAAUGGACGCAAGUCUGAACCAGCCAUGCCGCGUGCAGGAUGAAGGCCCUCUGGGUUGUAAACUGCUUUUAUAGGGGACGAAAAAGGGACUUUCUAGUUCAACUGACGGUACCCUAGGAAUAAGCACCGGCUAACUCCGUGCCAGCAGCCGCGGUAAUACGGAGGGUGCAAGCGUUAUCCGGAUUUACUGGGUUUAAAGGGUGCGUAGGUGGGUCGGUAAGUCAGCGGUGAAAUCUUCAAGCUUAACUUGGAAACUGCCAUUGAUACUAUCGAUCUUGAAUCAUCUGGAGGUAAGCGGAAUAUGUCAUGUAGCGGUGAAAUGCUUAGAUAUGACAUAGAACACCAAUUGCGAAGGCAGCUUACUACGGAUGUAUUGACACUGAGGCACGAAAGCGUGGGGAUCAAACAGGAUUAGAUACCCUGGUAGUCCACGCCCUAAACGAUGGAUACUCGACAUACGUGAUAUACUAUGUGUGUCUGAGCGAAAGCAUUAAGUAUCCCACCUGGGAAGUACGAUCGCAAGAUUGAAACUCAAGGAAUUGACGG
Molecule: ribosomal RNA, 577 nt
Filed under: uncultured bacterium
Lineage: Bacteria
Description: bacterial SSU rRNA
Rfam family: Bacterial small subunit ribosomal RNA
Source: RNAcentral